This 253-nucleotide ribosomal RNA is filed under the name uncultured bacterium. Its description in RNAcentral is "partial 16S ribosomal RNA". It matches the Rfam family "Bacterial small subunit ribosomal RNA", at positions 524 to 776 of the family's 1533-position model. The record is from RNAcentral.
UACGUAGGGGGCAAGCGUUGUCCGGAAUCAUUGGGCGUAAAGAGCGUGUAGGCGGCCUGGUAAGUCCGCUGUGAAAGUCCAGGGCUCAACCCUGGAAUGCCGGUGGAAACUGUCAGGCUCGAGUCCGGAAGAGGCGAGUGGAAUUCCUGGUGUAGCGGUGAAAUGCGCAGAUAUCAGGAGGAACACCAAUGGCGAAGGCAGCUCGCUGGGACGGUACUGACGCUGAGGUGCGAAAGCGUGGGGAGCAAACAGG